UUUUUCUUUCACCGGAGCUUGCUCCACCGAAAGAAAAAGAGUGGCGAACGGGUGAGUAACACGUGGGUAACCUGCCCAUCAGAAGGGGAUAACACUUGGAAACAGGUGCUAAUACCGUAUAACACUAUUUUCCGCAUGGAAGAAAGUUGAAAGGCGCUUUUGCGUCACUGAUGGAUGGACCCGCGGUGCAUUAGCUAGUUGGUGAGGUAACGGCUCACCAAGGCAACGAUGCAUAGCCGACCUGAGAGGGUGAUCGGCCACACUGGGACUGAGACACGGCCCAGACUCCUACGGGAGGCAGCAGUAGGGAAUCUUCGGCAAUGGACGAAAGUCUGACCGAGCAACGCCGCGUGAGUGAAGAAGGUUUUCGGAUCGUAAAACUCUGUUGUUAGAGAAGAACAAGGAUGAGAGUAAAAUGUUCAUCCCUUGACGGUAUCUAACCAGAAAGCCACGGCUAACUACGUGCCAGCAGCCGCGGUAAUACGUAGGUGGCAAGCGUUGUCCGGAUUUAUUGGGCGUAAAGCGAGCGCAGGCGGUUUCUUAAGUCUGAUGUGAAAGCCCCCGGCUCAACCGGGGAGGGUCAUUGGAAACUGGGAGACUUGAGUGCAGAAGAGGAGAGUG
RNAcentral lists this ribosomal RNA (621 nucleotides) under Enterococcus casseliflavus. Its description in RNAcentral is "bacterial SSU rRNA". It matches the Rfam family "Bacterial small subunit ribosomal RNA", at positions 69 to 663 of the family's 1533-position model. Lineage: Bacteria; Bacillati; Bacillota; Bacilli; Lactobacillales; Enterococcaceae. The record is from RNAcentral.